AGACGGAGGGAGCAAGCGUUGUUCGGAUUUACUGGGCGUAAAGGGCGUCUAGGCGGGCUGAUAAGUCAGAUGUGAAAUACCUCGGCUCAACCGGGGAACUGCAUUUGAUACUGUCGGUCUUGAGUACGGAAGAGGAAAGCGGAAUUCCUGGUGUAGCGGUGAAAUGCGUAGAUAUCAGGAAGAACACCGGUGGCGAAGGCGGCUUUCUGGUCCGUUACUGACGCUGAAGCGCGAAAGUGUGGGGAGC
Molecule: ribosomal RNA, 247 nt
Filed under: uncultured bacterium
Lineage: Bacteria
Description: partial 16S ribosomal RNA
Rfam family: Bacterial small subunit ribosomal RNA
Source: RNAcentral